Molecule: ribosomal RNA, 253 nt
Filed under: uncultured bacterium
Lineage: Bacteria
Description: partial 16S ribosomal RNA
Rfam family: Bacterial small subunit ribosomal RNA
Source: RNAcentral
UACGGAGGGUGCAAGCGUUGUUCGGAAUUACUGGGCGUAAAGCGCGUGUAGGCGGCUUUUUAAGUCUGAUGUGAAAGCCCGGGGCUCACCCCCGGAAGUGCAUUGGAAACUGGAAGGCUAGAGUACCGGAGAGGAGGGUGGAAUUCCUGGUGUAGCGGUGAAAUGCGUAGAUAUCAGGAGGAACACCGGUGGCGAAGGCGGCCCUCUGGACGGAUACUGACGCUGAGACGCGAAAGCGUGGGGAGCAAACAGG